Molecule: ribosomal RNA, 1260 nt
Filed under: Triticum aestivum (bread wheat)
Lineage: Eukaryota; Viridiplantae; Streptophyta; Magnoliopsida; Poales; Poaceae
Description: partial small subunit ribosomal RNA
Source: RNAcentral
AUGGAGAUGAAAGAGGCCGCCGCGGCGGCGGCGGCGGCCGGACCCGACCCCAAUGCGCGAGAAUCCCAUGGAGCCGCGCGGAGUGGCGACUGCGACGAGGCCGACAGCGAUCUCAUCAGCCGCCUCCCCGACGACGCCCUCGGCACUAUCGUCUCCCUCCUCCCCACCAAGGACGGCGGCCGCACGCAGGCCCUCUCCCGCCGAUGGCGCCACCUCUGGCGCUCCGCGCCUCUCAACAUCGAGGUCCGCUCCCCUGCCAGCCCCCAGCACCCCUCCUCCGUCCCCCCCUCCGCCGUCCCCAACAUAAUCUCCCAACACCCCGGCCCCGCCCGCCGAUUCUCCUUCCGCUGCCGCGGCGCCGGUGAUCUCUACGCCCAGACGGAGCGCUGGUUCGCCUCCCGGGCCCUCGCCAACCUCCAGGAGCUUGAUAUCGGCUACGAGUACCCCUCUGCACGUAUAAGCCACCCGCUGUCGCAAUCCGCGUUCCGCUCCGCAUCCACCCUCCUCGUCGCCAAGAUCAAAGAUUGCAGUUUCCCGGACGCGGUCUCACGGUCAAUGAAUUUCCCCCUCCUCAACCAGCUUACCUUGGAUUGUGUUUCGAUCUCGGGGGACGCGUUCCACGGCUUGCUCUCCGGCUGCCAUGCCUUGGGUUGGAGAGCUUAUCCAUGCUCGAAGUUCAUGCUGCUGGUUGCUUCCAUGGCACCUAAACUGGAGAUAUUUGGGCCUUUCUCGCCGGACUUGUGCCAACUCCCGGUCUUCCAGGGAAUGGGCCCAGUCAGCUCCGCAAACUCGAUAUCUACCGUGAAGGUUUUGGCUCUCGGGUGUCAUAGUUAUCGUCUGAAUGCAGUUCUUGACAUCCUCAGGUGGUUCCCCUGUUUGGGAAAGCUCUAUGUCACCUUUGGCAUGCAAAAGCAAAAUUUGCCUCAUUAUGACCGACCACAUCCCAUGGAAUGCCUUCAGACCCAUCUAAAGGAAGUGGUGUUGAAGUAUUUCAAUGGUUACGAGCAACAUAUUGACUUUGCCAGGUUCUUUGUUUUGAACGCAAAAGUGGUAAACAAAAUUGAAUUCCAUGUACGUGAGGACCACUACAGCAAUGAAUUUGUGGCUCGUCAACACACGCUGUUCGAAGCCGAAAACAGAGCUUCUCCGGAUGCUCAAUUUGAAUUCAGGAAAACUUGUGGUUCUAUUGAUUAUCAUGUCAGCAAGCAUAUCCACGAUCUGUCGGUGGCCGACCCCUUCGCAGACAGGGUUGAUGCCUGA